This 86-nucleotide unclassified non-coding RNA is filed under the name Epilithonimonas lactis. RNAcentral describes it as "Chryseobacterium halperniae Flavo-1 RNA". It matches the Rfam family "Flavo-1 RNA". Lineage: Bacteria; Pseudomonadati; Bacteroidota; Flavobacteriia; Flavobacteriales; Weeksellaceae. The record is from RNAcentral.
AGCGCGCCCCGACUUGAGUGGAGCUCUUUUUUUGCUGAGGGAAAAGCUUUGGCAAAAAAAAGCGGGAACGGAAGGCGGAAAAAGGC